Molecule: unclassified non-coding RNA, 219 nt
Filed under: Hevea brasiliensis (rubber tree)
Lineage: Eukaryota; Viridiplantae; Streptophyta; Magnoliopsida; Malpighiales; Euphorbiaceae
Source: RNAcentral
AAACUGAUGUAGACUACAGAGCUCUAAACGGCCUAGAGAAAAAACAAACCAUCAUCAGGCACCUUCGGAGAUCAUGUUGAAAAGCACGGCAGUCAGCUGCUCUUGUGUGUACAGCCUUGUUUUCGCCAUCUUCACAGUCAGCUGCUGGACCAUGAGCUCCUUGACAAUCGACACACUUGCCCAGAACACCUCCAGCUCCAGCUCUCGCAAUGCAGCCAU